CCUACGGGAGUCUGCAGUGAGGAAUAUUGGUCAAUGGACGAGCGUCUGAACCAGCCAAGUAGCGUGAAGGAUGACUGCCCUAUGGGUUGUAAACUUCUUUUAUAUGGGAAUAAAACAGGGUAUGCAUACCCUCUUGUAUGUACCAUAUGAAUAAGGAUCGGCUAACUCCGUGCCAGCAGCCGCGGUAAUACGGAGGAUCCGAGCGUUAUCCGGAUUUAUUGGGUUUAAAGGGAGCGUAGGUGGAUUGUUAAGUCAGUUGUGAAAGUUUGCGGCUCAACCGUAAAAUUGCAGUUGAAACUGGCAGUCGUGAGUACAGUAGAGGUGGGCGGAAUUCGUGGUGUAGCGGUGAAAUGCUUAGAUAUCACGUAGAACUCCGAUUGCGAAGGCAGCUCACUGGACUGCAACUGACACUGAUGCUCGAAAGUGUGGGUAUCAAACAGGAUUAGAUACCCCAGUAGUC
Molecule: ribosomal RNA, 460 nt
Filed under: uncultured bacterium
Lineage: Bacteria
Description: partial 16S ribosomal RNA
Rfam family: Bacterial small subunit ribosomal RNA
Source: RNAcentral